UCGACGAAAAAAAGGGAAAAAACACUGAACUCUCUGUUGUGUUUUUUUCAUUUUCUUAAAUUUCUAAUUACUUUAGCAAAAAAUACGUAGUUCUGCAAUUAUUUUUGCGUGAAAUUGUCUGCGUUAGUAUACGGCUUACCCGAGCCUCGCAGUAUGUGCUCGCUGUAUACGGUAGGUAUACGGAUCCAAUGUGGGGCGGUGCUCUUGGAUGGUGAGCUUGCCGGUGAAUCUGCUGAAACGGAUCGAUCGCCACUGAAGGCUGAGGUGAUGUUGGAAAUCAUGGACGUGUCGGAGGAUUAAGCGGAGUGAACUGUUUACCUAAAGUUGGUCAUCGGGUGACGCUGAGUGCACCUUCGGAGGGCACCAUUUGCCGCAUCUGGAGAAGGUGAGCAAUCCAGUGAUUUCCCUAGAGCGCGUUACAACAAAUAGGAUCUAUGCAACGAUGCAUCAGUCGUAGAUACAGCAACGACGAAGUUACAGUUGCAGCACAAAUACACAAUGUCUGCGGGAAUGGCGCUCUGUAGAAGGAACCAAAGAAGAAACGAGAAUGGGUUUGCCAUACUGAUGAUGAACGGAUGGUGGUGACGAAAACGGGAGAGUACUGCGAAUGAGAACAGUUUCGAUUGGAUCGAAAACUACAAACUAGGAUUCGGUAUUAACUGCAUUAUGAACUGAUUCGUGUCCAUCAAUGGAUGCUACAGGAAGAUUACACCGGAGAUGCUGCACACUAUGAGGUACAUGGCGGACGUUGGGAUGAAGACCGAGUAGUUCGAAGAGGACAGCUAUAACUAUAAGUAGCCUAUGGUCAUGGCCAGGUAGUAGUAAAAAAUAAAUUCAAGAUUAUUUUUUUGUGAAAUUAAGCAGAGCCUAUAGUUAAUCAGUGUCAGUUCAAUACUCAAUCAUCUACAAUAGCCAAAGUAGCCAAACUUUAAGGAACUUUCACAUAAAUCAUUCGUGUGUUAUUUUAGGGAAACGAUAUUUAAUAAUGAAUCAUAGGAUUAGAAUCAUCUUUUGGAAUUGAGCACUUCGAACAAUCUUUUGAUAUGGGUCCAAGGUGUAGUAUAUCGAGUAUUUUUAAAUGCUACAAUAAUGGUUAAGCACGCUGUAAUGUUACUUUUGUACCUCAUCACCCACUAAAUGCAACUACAUUAGUGGUCUAAUAACACUUAGCGCGCUUAGGCACGGUUCCAUCAUGCCGCUUAUAGUGUUGCCACAUAUAAUGCUUAGUCUGCUAAACCCAGUUAUCUGGCUGUGGGGCAUGGGAGCCUAAGCUUCAACCAUUAAUGCAAUUAAACAUUACUCGAUUUACAACAUGAGUGAUCCAAAUACUUGAUAAUUGUUCGAUCUGUUUUUUAAAUAUAGCUUAAAACAUACAAGCUUCUAGACCAAAUGCAUAGCUUACGUUUCGCUUCAUUCAGAAUUUGUUCAAGCAGUUCAUAUGUUUUGUAAAGUUAAAUUUAAAAAUUAAAGUUAGAAUUUUCUGUAUCACACUAGAAAACAAUUGAAUCUAACGUGGAACCAGUAUUAAAGUCAUUGCUCAAAGCAAUACAUUUACCGUACAUUUCACUGUUUAGAACAAUUUAAAAACAUAAGAAUCUUCUGUAUCACAGUACAAAACAAUUCCAAAACAAUUGAAUCAAGUGUGGAAUUAGCAAUAAAAUCACUAUUCAAAACAAUACACUUACCGUACAUUUCACUGUUUGAAACAAUUCGAAAACAUAAGAAUCUUCUGUAUCACAAUAGAAAACAAUACUCAAACCAUUGAAUUCAAUGUAAAAACAGUACAAACAGUAUGGUAUAACAAUUCUAAAACAAUAGAAUCAAAUGUGGAACCAGUCAUAAAAUCACUAUUCAAAACAAUACACUUACCGUACAUUUCACUGUUUGCAACAAUUCGAAAACAUAAGAAUCUUGUGUAUCACAAUAGAAAACCAUCCCCAAACCAUUGAAUUCAAUGUAAAAUCACAGUUCAUAUUCAACUGUUCAAAACAAUUCAAAUGCAUAAAAAUCUACGGUAUAUUCCAUUCCACGUAUCGGCAUUAUCAACAUUUCAAUAACAUUAGAAUUUUCUGUUUUGCGAAAAAAGUUGUAUGGAAAAAAGUCUUUUUUUGUAUUGUUACGAUACUUAACAACCUAUACAAUUCAAUGUGAAAUGCUCAUUCACAUUUGAUUCUAUUGUUAGAAACAUUUGAUUCAAUUGUUUUUCUAUUGUUAUUUUAACAUUGAAUUCUAUUGUGAGAGCAUUGUUUUCAAUGGUUCUGUUACAUUAGAAUCCUAUGUUUUUCUAUUGUAUUUUUUAUCCGGGUAACA
Molecule: long non-coding RNA, 2310 nt
Organism: Aedes albopictus (Asian tiger mosquito)
Lineage: Eukaryota; Metazoa; Arthropoda; Insecta; Diptera; Culicidae
Exons: 3
Source: RefSeq, a predicted model, not a curated record